GCUCGCUUCGGCAGCACAUAGUAAAAUUGGAACGAUAGAGAAGAUUAGCAUGGCCCCUGCACAAGGAUGAUGCGCAAAUUCGUGAAGCGUUCUAUAUUUUU
Rattus norvegicus (Norway rat) is the source of this 101-nucleotide small nuclear RNA. NCBI's taxonomy places the organism in Eukaryota, Metazoa, Chordata, Mammalia, Rodentia, Muridae. The record is from Ensembl.